This is a long non-coding RNA of Mustela erminea (ermine), 4453 nucleotides long. RefSeq lists it as uncharacterized. The transcript has 3 exons. NCBI's taxonomy places the organism in Eukaryota, Metazoa, Chordata, Mammalia, Carnivora, Mustelidae. The record is from RefSeq and is a predicted model, not a curated record.
CCCCCAGCGCCUCCUCUCGCGAUGACGGAGGCAGCCGCGGGACCGCGGGGCGUUGUGGGAGUCGUAGUUGGCCGCACGCGCCGGAAGCGCCUGCGCUCUCGCGUUUCCGUUCCGAGCGAGGCCUCGUCUUCUCUGAUCCGGCCUGGCCCCACCCCCAGGAGGCCCCGCCCCCAGGAGGCCCCGCCCCGCUCCCCUAGUUCCCGGAGCCGGGGCGGAGAAAAGGGGCACCAGUCGCGCAGUGGGAGCCGCUGGAGCGGGUGGUGAUCUUGAUCCUUUCCCAGGUCCGCGAUUGCAGGUCGCGCUGGUUUUGUCUAGGACGGGGCGGACGCCUUUACUGCGCGCCUGCGAGGUGCCGAGCCCGGGCCUGUGCCACUGCCUGUCCUCCAGCAGAGCCCCGCAAGCCCCUAGUACUGAGAAGGGGGUCGGGUCGCUGGAGGGGAAACCGAGGACGGGCGGUGGGAGACUCCACCCACCACGAGCCCAGCUGCCCAGAUGCAGGCCUGGCCGCAGCCCUGACGGCUGUGUUGCCCCUUCCCCCAGACGGUCGAGUGGGGAUGCUGGCGCAGUGGGGCAGUUUAACUCUUGAUUUCAGUGUAACAGACGCGCUGGGUGGUGUAGAAAUCCUGUGUCCUUUCGUGAAGUCCUCACGGCUUCACCAGCCCCGCCUUACGAAAUGCGGCCAGCCUCCUGGGAGCCCCUCAGCCCCUUUCCUAUCACCCACCCCCCCAACCGCCCUUGAGGUUGCUCAAGGGGAGGUCGGCGGCAGGGGCCAGAGGAUGGGUUUGGGUGUUUAAGGAGGGGGCUGCUGCUGAGUUGGGACCUCGAGCUGUGGGGUUCAGCGUGCCCACGCAUUGCAGAAUGCUGAAUGACUUCUCUGACUUCUACCCACUAGAUGCCAGUAGCAUCCCCCCCACCUCAGUGUGACAACCAAAGAUACUCCCCAGUGUCUCCAGGGGUGGGGUGGGGGUCACCCUCAGCUGAGAACCAGUAGCUUGAGAAAGAUCUAUGGCCAUUGCCUAGAAUCCUGUUGACUCCGUCUUCAAGUAUGAAUUUUUUUUCCACUGGGGCCUUGCUUGAGAAUUUUCCUCCCUAUAUAUUGACCUUGGCAUUCGUUUCUUGGGGCAGCUAUGACAAAGUACAACAAACUGGGUGGCUUCAAACAAGACAUUUAUAUUCCCACAGCUCCGGAGACCAGGAGUCUGAAAUCAAGGGGCCAGCAGGCUUAGUUCUUUCUGAGGGCUGCAAGGGACAAAUCUGUUCCGUGCCUCUCUCCUAGCCUCUGGGGGCUGCUGGCAAAUCUUGGCGUUCCCUAGCUUGUAGACGCAUCUCACCCCUCUCUGCCUCUGUCUUCGUGUGGCUUAGUCCCUGUAUCUCUCUGUCCCUAUAAGGUCACCAGUCCUAUUGGAUUUACCAACCCGACUCCAGUAUGACCUCCCCUUGACUUUUUGUAUCUGCAGAGACCCCAUUUCCAAAGACAAUAGAGACUAUCGUCACCUAGGUCCUACCCUCCCUGUCUCUAUAAGGACCUGCACCUGUGUGACUCUGGUCCUUUCUGCCUCUCCACCGGGUGUCCUUCCUCCUGUGUGGGGCUGGGCCCUGGACAUCUCAACCCACUCUGGGAAUGUGCCUCUUCCACUAACCAGUCCCUUCCCGUGGACUCCUUCCUCUGGGCAUAUACAAGUGGUAAAGAAAACAACACACACACACAAACAGGAAACAAAACCAUCCCAAUGAGGUGACCCUGUGUGGUUCUGUGCUUCCACUCAAUAGAGCGUAGAAAGGAUUCUAGAAAGGGAAGAUUCUAGAAAGAGAAGAUUCUAGAAGGGGAAGGACCUGUCUUCUUCAGUUACUGGAUCUGCAACCUUCCCUUCAUACAGUUUUGCUUGUUUGGUUUCUAUCAAAGGGCACCGAAGUGAUUCUGGACAGUACGAGGAUGUGGUCUCACCCCACUGAGACUCACGGAACUGAUGUCUCCUCUCUGCGACAGGUGCAGCGUCUUUGUUGGGUCGUACUGAGUCUGAGUCCCUGCUCGUCCUUGUUCACUUCUCCUUUUAACACAGGGCGGUCUCCUGCCCGGACCUUAGGUAGACACACUGUCUAGCUAAAAGGUAAUCCCUUUUUUGGUUUUCAUUGUAUUUAUUUCAUUUUAUUAUUUCUUAAAACCAUUUUGUUGAGGCAUGAGUGCCAUGUGAAGAGCUGUACAUAUGUAAUGCGAGUUUGGGGAUAAGGAUGCACCCCAAAACCAUCACCAUCGUGCUCAUGGACAUACCCAUCACCUCCCACAGUAGUGUCCUGCCGCCUUUAUUAUGAAUGAUUCUUAUUUGUGUGGUAAGAAGCUAUACAUAAGUUCCCCAAAUUUUAGGUACGUAACCCAGUACGGUCAGUGAUAGGCACUGUUCUGUGCAGUGGAUCUUCUGCAUAUCGGAAACUUGAUUCCCAACGACCAACAUCUGCCCGUUUCCCCCACCCCCCGUCCCUGGCCACCACCGUUCUCUCUGCCUCUAUGAAUUGGACCAUUUUAGAUUCCAUAUGUAAGUGAGAUCAUAUAUUAUUCGUCUUUCUGGGUCUGGCUUGUUUCAUGGAGCAUAACGCCCUCCGGGUCCCACCCUGUGGCCACAAAUGGCAGGACUUCCUUCUUUUAAAAGUCGGAACUGCAGUCCGUUGCACAUAUACAGCGCGUGAUUUUUAUCCACUCGCCCCUCGAUGCACACCUAGCUUGUUUCCGUGCCACGGCUGCUUGUGGGUCGUCUGCAGGGAAUGCUGGAGCCCAGGGACCGCUCCAAGAUCCUGAUUGCAGUUUCCUUGGGAGAACUGCAGACUCUUUCCUUCAGAACCAACCUGAAGAGCUCAUGUGUGGGUCCAGCUUCACUAAACCCAGCAUCGAACACAGCCUUGUUAAUCACACCGUAGUUGCCACCUAUUAAGAUCAAGACCCUCUGUAUUUAUUCUGGAUGAAAUGCAAGGUGAUCUACCUCGAGAAUUUGCUGGUAAAGGGUCACUCCAUUUGUCGGACUGUUUAGAAUCCCAUUUUGGAAAUCUGGGAUGUUAUCAAAAUUUCUAAAAAUGGUCCUUGAGAAUCCGAGUCCUGUCUGACACCCACCACGAAACGGAGCCAGACUGAUUUUGCUCUCCAGCUCAGAUUUGCAGGACUUGGCUGAGAGUCACCUGAAAUGACGUCCCUUUGGAGGAAGGGGCGGUACUGAAGGUCACCUUUUCUGAAAUGGGAAAAUGUUUGCAUGUUUUUGCUAAAACAAAUGAUCAGAAAAUAAUUUCUCGUGUGUAAAAUGGAAAGAAAAAGUAAUUUUUAAUCAACUCGGGUGAUUGAUGUGUUUAUAGUGAAGAAGGUGCGACCGCUCGCUCAGUGGAAAUAAAAUUUUCAGUUUUGUGCUCCGCUCGCUCAGUGGAAAUAAAAUUCUCAGUUUUGUGCUCAGCAAUGGAGAAAAGCAAUUUCUGGCUCUUAAUUUUUUCCCCCAAUAACUUGGAGUAAAAUAAAAUGCAUUGGUAAAUAAUGAAAUAAUGCUUUGGUUCUACAUUUGCUUUCAAUAAACAAUGCAAAUGUGUCUGAGCAAGUUAGAAAACAUUCGGUAGUUGAGGAAAUGCCACCACUUUGGUUUCAAAGAAUUGGUUGUUUCUUUCUUUGUUUGUUUUUUUUUUUUUUGGAAGGAUCAGCAAGAAAUACACAAUAGCAGUAUCUCUGUCCGAUGAGAACCCUACGGACAGGGAGCAUCCUUAAGGAGGCGGAGAUUACGGCAGACGCUACUUUCUGAUGCAGUCUGUUCUCAUGCCUAUUUUUCUGUGCUCUGAGCUAAGUUAAGCUGGUGGCUUGAUGUGCAAAGUGUGGGAGGGCCUACUGGCUUGAGGCACAAGGAGUCUUACACUUGCUAACUUGAGGGGAUGGCCUUCUUGACACCUAGAUUUCUCCCUAGGAAUAGCCCAGGCUCACGAGGGAGGGCGGGUUUCCCAUUGUUAGAUCACCUGCCUACGGCCCCGGCUGCUGAGCACCUAUAAAGCCAGAAGAGGAAGUCUCAUAGCGUGUGAGUGUGCAGGCUCGGACCUCCCCUCUUCCCCCAGGCCUGCUCUGUGCAUGGGUGAAGGACCAAUCUAUUGUGUUCGAGAUGCGGAAUUUCCUGACUGAGCCACCGGACUUGUUCAAGAGAGAAAUACCCACAUCCUGGGACGCGGGCGGAUGCUGGUGACCGUGGGCCUUGCAGUCAAUGACCUGAGGAUGAUCUCGCCCCUCUGUGAGGAUAGCCAUCAUCUUCGCGGCCGAAUGCAGAAUGCUCGGAAUUGUUCGUCAUGAUGGCCAAGACAGGUGCACGGCCCAGCUGUGAGUGGGGACUUCUGGCUUUAUAGAAUCUGUAGAGUCCCUCGACCAACACGAGAUGUACGGGGGACCCCAGAUGACCGGUCCAAACAGUGAACUGGCACUAAGGCAAGACCUCGCACCGGCAAC